AUUGAACGCUGGCGGCAUGCUUUACACAUGCAAGUCGAACGGCAGCGCGGGGCAACCUGGCGGCGAGUGGCGAACGGGUGCGUAAUAUAUCGGAACGUACCCAGAAGUGGGGGAUAACGUAGCGAAAGUUACGCUAAUACCGCAUACGAUCUACGGAUGAAAGUAGGGGACCGCAAGGCCUUAUGCUUUUGGAGCGGCCGAUAUCUGAUUAGCUAGUUGGCGAGGUAAAGGCUCACCAAGGCGACGAUCAGUAGCUGGUCUGAGAGGACGACCAGCCACACUGGAACUGAGACACGGUCCAGACUCCUACGGGAGGCAGCAGUGGGGAAUUUUGGACAAUGGGCGCAAGCCUGAUCCAGCAAUGCCGCGUGAGUGAAGAAGGCCUUCGGGUUGUAAAGCUCUUUUGUCAGGGAAGAAACGGUAGAGGCUAAUAUCCUUUGCUAAUGACGGUACCUGAAGAAUAAGCACCGGCUAACUACGUG
Molecule: ribosomal RNA, 482 nt
Filed under: uncultured bacterium
Lineage: Bacteria
Description: partial 16S ribosomal RNA
Rfam family: Bacterial small subunit ribosomal RNA
Source: RNAcentral